Molecule: ribosomal RNA, 433 nt
Filed under: uncultured bacterium
Lineage: Bacteria
Description: partial 16S ribosomal RNA
Rfam family: Bacterial small subunit ribosomal RNA
Source: RNAcentral
AACGAACGCUGGCGGCAUGCCUAACACAUGCAAGUCGAACGAGACCUUCGGGUCUAGUGGCGCACGGGUGCGUAACACGUGGGAAUCUGCCCUUUGCUUCGGAAUAACAGUUAGAAAUGACUGCUAAUACCGGAUGAUGUCGAAAGACCAAAGAUUUAUCGGCAAAGGAUGAGCCCGCGUAGGAUUAGGUAGUUGGUGGGGUAAAGGCCUACCAAGCCGACGAUCCUUAGCUGGUCUGAGAGGAUGAUCAGCCACACUGGGACUGAGACACGGCCCAAACUCCUACGGGAGGCAGCAGUGGGGAAUAUUGGACAAUGGGCGAAAGCCUGAUCCAGCAAUGCCGCGUGAGUGAUGAAGGCCUUAGGGUUGUAAAGCUCUUUUACCAGGGAUGAUAAUGACAGUACCUGGAGAAUAAGCUCCGGCUAACUCCGUG